Molecule: transfer RNA, 836 nt
Filed under: uncultured Prochlorococcus sp.
Lineage: Bacteria; Bacillati; Cyanobacteriota; Cyanophyceae; Synechococcales; Prochlorococcaceae
Description: partial 16S-23S ribosomal RNA intergenic spacer; may also contain 16S ribosomal RNA and 23S ribosomal RNA
Rfam family: tRNA (bases 273-345)
Source: RNAcentral
CUGGAUCACCUCCUAACAGGGAGACAAACAUUGAUCGUGAUGUCUAAAUUUUUAUCUUUAGGCCAUGAUCCUGUCACUUAGGUCGAUCGGUACCUCAAAUUGAAGCCACAAACUAAAAAAUAGUUUGAUAUUGGUACUUGAUUUCAGUUCCUAAACUUUUGUCUAGGUCACACCCAACAAGGGUUCCUGGGCCAUUAGCUCAGGUGGUUAGAGCGCACCCCUGAUAAGGGUGAGGUCCCUGGUUCAAGUCCAGGAUGGCCCAUUCGAUGUUUGGGGGUAUAGCUCAGUUGGUAGAGCGCCUGCUUUGCAAGCAGGAUGUCAGCGGUUCGAGUCCGCUUACCUCCACUGAUCGACCUCCUGAAUAAAGAGCCUUAGGCCACUAUUGUUUGUUGUGAUUUAGAUUUUGUUCUUUGAUGAAUUGAACCUAGCUUCUUAUCAUUCCUGGUGAUUAACUAAGAAUUAGUUUUACCUUUGGUUGAUAUGAUGCUGGGCUCGCUGCAAUGAAACAUUGCAGAGAUGUUCAGUAGAACCUUGAAAACUGCAUAGGUAAGUCUGGAAAAAAAUAAAGCAUCUCAUGGAUGCAUUAUUUUUCUGAAAUUUUAAUUCUGUACUUACAGGAAAUAAUUCAGAAGAGUAAUGUUUAAUUCUUGAGCAAGAGCCGAGACUCUAUAACUUUCUUUCAAUAUAACUGUAUUGAGAGUUUGAUUUUUAAUUCAUUUAAACCUGAUUUCAAUCAAUGAUUUAGGUAAACCUUAUUCGUUGAUCUUAUUAGUUAUGAAUUAAUUAGAAAGUGCUAACAACACAUAGGGUUAUGGAGAUUUAUGGUCAAGCUACAA